UGCACGCCUUCAUGCAGGAGCGGUGUGUCCCGGGAGUUUCCCUGACUCCUGUUCUUAGAGGGACAGAGCGACCUCAGGACCUUCUCAAAAGAAGAAGGGAUGUGGCAGACCUGGGGGCACCUCAUUAAAUGAAAUUCUGGGGAGCAUUGGCAGUAGGAUGCAGAGGGAGGAUGGCUGGACAUUUCUCUACGGGGGAACGAACACAGCUCCUUGCCUUCCCUCGAGAUCCUGACUGGAGUCCAAGCUCCUUAGUAAUGCACGAGAUAGGCUGCCUAUUAAGAUCAAACAAAGGACAUAAGCUUCCACACAGCUCAUUUGGUGGAAUUUACACAUAGCUGUAAAUGAAUUAAAUUGUUAGAUACUGGAGUGAAGUGGUUGAACCAGAUGCUCAAAGAACCUGAAUCGGCGCUUGUUUGGAAGAGGAUGCACUGCAGAAAUCCUCCUGUAAGUCACAGUAUCCACUUUG
Molecule: long non-coding RNA, 466 nt
Filed under: Homo sapiens (human)
Lineage: Eukaryota; Metazoa; Chordata; Mammalia; Primates; Hominidae
Description: HSALNT0253671
Source: RNAcentral